GGGGCGGAAUCGCUGAGCUGCCGCAAAUCCGGAUCCUUUCCCGCUUCACCGGCGACUUGAAGCCGGUGGUCAGGGAUGCAGAGGGGAUGGAUCAUGGAUGGGGAAGCGCAACGCAACCCUUGGCGGCUUGGCGCCCGGCCGCGCGGCCCGCUUGUCAACAAUGGAGGUACGUGCGCGGUUCUUGCUGCUGUCUUCGUAGCUGGUUCAUCAGCGGGGAGCCGGAGACCGCCAAGGAACCAAAAAUGAACUCACCAGACGGCAGCUGCCACGUCAAGAGGAAGCCAUUGCUGAUGAGUUGCUCAUAGUUGCUUGCGUUCACCUUGCCGAAUGUCCCCAGCACUGGCACAAGAGUAGUGCUACAGCCCUCCACUGAGUACUGCGUAUAGUUGCUCGAGUCAUUGUAAUGCCCUCCAACUGCAACACGAACAAACAAGCUGCUGCUGCAUUUCGUCUCCACAAGCCCCCUAUCCGCCUCUGGUAUCUUGGUGCAGUUGUAGAAGAUGAGGUUCAGAUUGACAGGGCUGAUCGAGAAUGGAAGGCCGACUUUGGAGGAGGUAUUAGCAGUCAGAACAUGACAGCCUUUUGAGUCGGAUGUGCUGAAAUCUGCAACCUUGUGGAUAUCGGCGACAAGCAAGGAGCUGUUGUCAUAGAAGAUAUCGAGGAUCCGGAACCGGUACUUACGCCGGUAGUACCCGAGGUAUGGGAUGCUGUUGUUGCAAUGGACCUCGAAGCCCAUCCGGCCGCAUUUCGUGUCGGUUGCCUGCUCCGGGACGAAUCCGAAUGGGUCUGCAAUUGUCAGGUUGCCGCAUGUCUUGGGUGAGCAGUUAGCCCCUUGAUCAACUGGUUCAACGGCUGCUGCUAUCUGUGAAAGAGUCAUGCACAGCAAGAACAAGCUGAUGGAGGACAUCGGAGCAGAGGUGAUAAAAGCGUGGAGAUAAGAGUUCAGAGAUGCACAUAAGGAGGUAGGAAUGGGGUGGAUAUGAAGUACUUGUUGGCUGGCCGAUCAAUGAGCGAUGGAGUGCCCGAAGGGCAAGUCUUGAUCAUGGAGAUUUUUUUUUCUUUUUGAAAUGUUGACCGUGGAGUUGAGACGGCUGAAGUGAAGUCUGAACCACAACCACUGCACAGUGACUGAUCGAGUAUGCUUUUUGAUCACAACGUCAUGGUCGUAUUUGGCUAGCUUAGUCCAGUCACCGUCAUGAGCUUCUAGUCCUUUCUCCUUCAGUCCUUUGUUCCAUCUACGUAAGCUUAAAGUCUUGUUCGCUGCACCUGGUUGCGGCGACGCCGGGACUGUACAGCCGAAACCAAUUCUAGGACGACGAUGCUGACGGCCGAUCAAUGACUUACGUAAGCUAAUCCGAGUAUUAGCAAUUCCAGGGCCAUGGAAGGAUGCAACAGCAGCUGGGUACGCCUUGGAGGGGGUUUGCUUCUUGGCUGUCUCUGAAAAAGGAUGUUUGGGCUCAUUCUGACCAUCCCGAGGCCUUUUCUUGGCCCCCUUCCGCCCUGGCGCAGACACCGGGGCUGCUGCAGUUGCCGUCUCGGCGUCUCGCCGUCGAGAGGCGCGGCGGCGGCGGCGGCGGCGGACACUGGACACAUGCGCGAACCACCACUAGUGCCGCCAUCCCCUACCGCGCGCGCAACCGCAGCUGCUACCCCGCGCGCCUGGGGCCUGUGGUCAGAGCAGCAGGCAGGCUGACGCAAUCUCGCCUUGCGCCGUCGAUGGCGCAAAGACGCAAAACCUUUCUGGGUCACCCGCCUGCCCUAGCUCGUUCUCUUCAUCCAAGGACCGAACAAGCAGUGUGACCUCCCAAGGAACCAAGCAGGGAACAUGUCAGCAUUCAAGUGAAACGUGUCAGUAUAUGAUCAUUAGAUGAUGGAACAAACUAUAAUAACCUUGAUUUGAAUGGGUGCUGUUUUUAUCAUGCUGAGUUCCAACUCACUGUAGCAUGUGGGCCAAGCUCGGUCAACACAACCUUACUAGAUGAUGUGACGCCAUCGGGGUAGCGGCAACCCUCGCAGCGCUCCGGGAAGUACUCAAGCAUAAACCCUGCCUCCAUGAUCCGCUGAUAGUCCGCCCCCAUAGCCCCGUCGUAUGCCAUCACCGGCACCAUCGACACGCUGCAGUUCCCCGGCAGUGUCAUCGAGACGUCGUCGGGCCUGUACUGGCCAGAAAGCCAGGCGAAGGAGCCAUUCGCGCUGCAGCUCAGUGGCGCCCAAGAAGGAGGCAGCUGCUGUGCUCGCAGGUUGCAGCCGUGGAGGAAGAACAGCUCCUGGUUCAUUUCGGAGCUCACGUAGAACGGCUCGAGGACGGAGGAGGCGUUGGCCAACUUCUCGAUGUUGCAAGCGCCAUCCAACAGGUCGGUGUUGGCGACUCUUAUAAGCUUCAUUUCGUAGAAGAUGGCCUGGAUUCGGUAUGUCCAGAGCGAGUUCUUGAAAUAGCAGGUGGCGUUGUCACAUGUCACCUGGAAGGCUUGGUGGCCGCCGCACUCCGGCGAAUGCGUGCCGGCGAGCCAGAACGGGUAGGCGAUGCUCAGGUCCCCGCACCACGCCGGUGCGCAGGGCGCCGUCGUGCUCGGAGCCGGGGCGCCUGUCGUGGUGGAUCUGGUUUGGGGAAUGAGCAGUAGCAGGGCCAAGCACAGCGAGGUAGCAGGAGAUAGGAGCAUCAUCUUGGCAACGCAAUGGCAAAGGAGAGUAUUGCAGGCUUGCAGCUGCUGGAAGAUUGCUCGUUCAGUUGGAGUAGGCGACAACAUGCUAGUCAGGAGUGAGAGCGUGCAAUUGAAUGAUGUUGCAACGAAUUCAAGUAUUCAACUAUGGCGGGCGUACAUUUCCUUUCGAUAUUUUGUAAUGUACUAUUGUUUCCUUCUGCUUUUUAAAUUAAAGCAAGGUUUGACCCCUUGUGA
Long non-coding RNA from Panicum virgatum (switchgrass), 2897 nucleotides. RefSeq lists it as uncharacterized. NCBI's taxonomy places the organism in Eukaryota, Viridiplantae, Streptophyta, Magnoliopsida, Poales, Poaceae. The transcript is spliced from 4 exons. The record is from RefSeq and is a predicted model, not a curated record.